Molecule: ribosomal RNA, 465 nt
Filed under: Vreelandella stevensii
Lineage: Bacteria; Pseudomonadati; Pseudomonadota; Gammaproteobacteria; Oceanospirillales; Halomonadaceae
Description: partial 16S ribosomal RNA
Rfam family: Bacterial small subunit ribosomal RNA
Source: RNAcentral
CCUACGGGGUGCUGCAGUGGGGAAUAUUGGACAAUGGGCGAAAGCCUGAUCCAGCCAUGCCGCGUGUGUGAAGAAGGCCUUCGGGUUGUAAAGCACUUUCAGUGGGGAAGAAAGCCUUGGGGCUAAUACCCUCGAGGAAGGACAUCACCCACAGAAGAAGCACCGGCUAACUCCGUGCCAGCAGCCGCGGUAAUACGGAGGGUGCGAGCGUUAAUCGGAAUUACUGGGCGUAAAGCGCGCGUAGGCGGUCUGAUAAGCCGGUUGUGAAAGCCCCGGGCUCAACCUGGGAACGGCAUCCGGAACUGUCAGGCUAGAGUGCAGUAGAGGAAGGUAGAAUUCCCGGUGUAGCGGUGAAAUGCGUAGAGAUCGGGAGGAAUACCAGUGGCGAAGGCGGCCUUCUGGACUGACACUGACGCUGAGGUGCGAAAGCGUGGGUAGCAAACAGGAUUAGAUACCCCGGUAGUC